GCCAGAGCUGUUGAAUUGCCCACAACCAUAAUCCCAAGACAUUCUAGGUGAAUUACGACCAUGCAUUUGAUGGUCUUAGAAAAAGCCACGACAGCUCUGGCUGUAAUGCUACAUGAUUUUCAAAUUUCCUUUAUACCUGAUAAGUAUCUACAAGACAAGAGUUUAGUUUUUUUAUACAAUCUCCCUCUCUAUAGCUGACAUUCGUUAUACUAUUCU
RNAcentral lists this unclassified non-coding RNA (216 nucleotides) under Hevea brasiliensis (rubber tree). The record is from RNAcentral. Lineage: Eukaryota; Viridiplantae; Streptophyta; Magnoliopsida; Malpighiales; Euphorbiaceae.